This 500-nucleotide ribosomal RNA is filed under the name uncultured bacterium. RNAcentral describes it as "bacterial SSU rRNA". It matches the Rfam family "Bacterial small subunit ribosomal RNA", at positions 28 to 526 of the family's 1533-position model. The record is from RNAcentral.
GAUGAACGCUAGCGGGAGGCCUAAUACAUGCAAGUCGAACGGUAACAGGUAGCAAUACGCUGACGAGUGGCGCACGGGUGCGUAACGCGUACACAAUCUGCCUUAUAUUGGGGCAUAGCCUUUGGAAACGAAGAAUAAUUCCCCAUAACAUAUAGAAGAGGCAUCUCUUUUAUAUUAAAGCUCAGGCGGUAUAAGAUGAGUGUGCGUCCGAUUAGGUAGUUGGUGAGGUAACGGCUCACCAAGCCAACGAUCGGUAGCUGGUCUGAGAGGAUGAUCAGCCACACGGGCACUGAGACACGGGCCCGACUCCUACGGGAGGCAGCAGUAGGGAAUAUUGGACAAUGGGCGCAAGCCUGAUCCAGCCAUCCCGCGUGAAGGAUGAAGGUCCUCUGGAUUGUAAACUUCUUUUCUUCGGGAAUAAAAACUAGGGGUUCUCCUCAGCUUGAAGGUACCGAAGGAAUAAGCACCGGCUAACUCCGUGCCAGCAGCCGCGGUAAAGU